This 498-nucleotide ribosomal RNA is filed under the name uncultured bacterium. Its description in RNAcentral is "partial 16S ribosomal RNA". It matches the Rfam family "Bacterial small subunit ribosomal RNA", at positions 28 to 507 of the family's 1533-position model. The record is from RNAcentral.
GAUGAACGCUGGCGGCGUGCCUAAUACAUGCAAGUCGAGCGAACUCUUGGUAGCUUGCCCCCAAAAGUUAGCGGCGGACGGGUGAGUAACACGUGGGGAACCUGCCUGUAAGACUGGGAUAACUUCGCGAAACCGGAGCUAAUACCGGACAACAUUGAUAACCACAUGGCCUUCUAUUAAAAAUUGGCUUUUAGCUAACACUUACAGAUGGAACCGCGGCGCAGUAGCUAGUUGGCUAGGUAACGGCUCACCGACGCGCCGAUGCGUAGCCGACCUGAAAGGGUGGUAGGACACACUGGGACGGGGGAGCGGCCCAGCAUCCUAGAGGAGGCAGCAGUAGGGAACCUUUCGCGAUGGACGAAAGGCUGACGGAGCAACGCCGCGGGAGCGACGAAGGCCGUCGGGUCGUGAAGCUCUGUUGUUAGGGAAGAACAAGUAUCGUUCGAAUAGGGCAGUACCUUGACGGUACCUAAGCAGAAAGCCACGGCUAACUACGUG